This 2565-nucleotide long non-coding RNA is filed under the name Gallus gallus (chicken). Its description in RNAcentral is "lncRNA (ENSGALG00010000310.1)". The record is from RNAcentral. Lineage: Eukaryota; Metazoa; Chordata; Aves; Galliformes; Phasianidae.
CAUCACCGCCCCCCAUCCCCUCCCCAUCCCCUUGAGGACCCAACCCAAUGACUGACCGACCCUUCCCCUCCCCAUCCCGUUGAGGACCCAACCCAACCGUUGGCCAACCCUUCCCCACCCCAUCACCGCCCCCCAUCCCCUCCCCAUCCCCUUGAGGACCCGACCCAAUGGCUGACCGACCCUUCCCCACCCCAUCCCCUUGGGUACACCGCUGCCCCCCCCCCCUUGUCGGGGGGCUCUCGGGGAGCCCCUCAGUGCUGAGCGACCGGGCCGGGGGUGUCCUUGGGGCGAAACGACUCAGCAGACGACUGACCCGACCCCGUGGGGCUUCGGUGGUACCGCAGCUCUCCAAACCUUCAGCGCUACGGCUCAACCCCUGGCUCAACGUCACCGGGGGUGACGACCCCAUUGGAGGACCCCCCCCCCCCGGCCCCCGCUUUUGCCCGGCGCCUUUCCAACAGUUCCCUUUUCCAUGGGGGUAAUUGGGCCGCCCGGUCCCGCUGUUCCCUUUCCCGACGCCGGGCUGCUUCUUCUUCACGUCGACGGCGUUCCAAGAGUUGGAUCUUCCAACCCGGCACCGCCAUGGCCUGAGGUGGGAGGGGGACGUUGGGGAGACGUUGGGAGCGGUGGGGGACACCGAGGAUGGGGAUUUGGGGUCACCAGGGAUGGGGUCACCGAGUUUGGGGUCACCAGGGAUGGGGAUUUGGGGUCACCAGGGAUGGGGUCACCGAGUUUGGGGUCACCGGGGAUGGGGAUUUGGGGUCACCAGGGAUGGUAUGGGGUCACCAGGUAUGAUGGGGACACCGAGGAUGGGGAUUUGGGGUCACCAGGGAUGGUAUGGGGUCACCAGGGAUGGUAGGGAGACCGAGGAUGGAGAUAUUGGGGUCACCAGGGAUGGCGUCACCGAGUUUGGGGUCACUGGGGAUGGUAGGGAGACCGGAGGUGGGGAUUUGGGGUCACCAGGGAUGGUUUGGGGUCACCAGGAGUGGUGGGGACACCGAGGAUGGGGAUUUGGGGUCACCAGGGAUGGUAUGGGGUCACCAGGUAUGAUGGGGACACCGAGGAUGGGGAUUUGGGGUCAACAGGGAUGGUAUGGGGUCACCAGGUAUGAUGGGGACACCGAGGAUGCGGAUUUGGGGUCAACAGGGAUGGGGUCACCGUGUUUGGGGGCACCGGGGAUGGUGGGGAGAGCGAGGAUGGGGAUUUGGGGUCACCAGGGAUGGUAUGGGGUCACCAGGGAUGGUAGGGAGACCGAGGAUGAGGAUUUGGGGUCACCAGGGAUGGGGUCACCGAGUUUGGGGUCACCGGGGAUGGUAGGGAGACCGAGGAUGGGGAUUUGGGGUCACCAGGGAUGGUUUGGGGUCACCAGGGAUGGAGACAUUGGGGUCACCAGGGAUGGGGUCACCGAGUUUGGGGUCACCAGGGAUGGGGAUUUGGGGUCACCAGGGAUGGGGUCACCGAGUUUGGGGUCACCGGGGAGGGGGAUUUGGGGUCACCAGGGAUGGUAUGGGGUCACCGGGGAUGGUGGGGAGACCGGGGGUGGGGAUUUGGGGUCACCAGGGAUGGUUUGGGGUCACCAGGAGUGGUGGGGACACCGAGGAUGGGGAUUUGGGGUCACCAGGGAUGGUAUGGGGUCACCAGGUAUGAUGGGGACACCGAGGAUGGGGAUUUGGGGUCACCAGGGAUGGUAUGGGGUCACCGGGGAUGGUGGGGAGACCGGGGGUGGUGAUUUGGGGUCACUAGGGAUGGUUUGGGGUCACGAGGGAUGGUGGGGACCCCACAAAUGGGGAUUUGGGGUCACCAGGGAUGGUUUGGGGUCACCGGGGAUGGUGGGGACACCGAGGGUGGGGAUUUGGGGUCACCAGGCAUGGUAUGGGGUCACCAGGUAUGAUGGGGACACCGAGGAUGCGGAUUUGGGGUCAACAGGGAUGGUAUGGGGUCACCAGGUAUGAUAGGGACACCGAGGAUGGGUAUUUGGGGUCACCAGGGAUGGGGUCACCGUGUUUGGGGGCACCGGGGAUGGUGGGGAGACCGAGGAUGGGGAUUUGGGGUCACCAGGGAUGGUUUGGGGUCACCAGGGAUGGUGGGGACAUCAGGGAUGCAGAUAUUGGGGUCACCAGGGAUGGGGCCACCGAGUUUGGGGUCACCGGGGAUGGUGGGGAGACUGGGGGUGGGGAUUUGGGGUCACCAGGGGUGGUGGGGACACCGAGGAUGGGGAUUUGGGGUCACCAUGGAUGGGGUCACCGAGUUUGGGGUCACCGGGGAUGGUGGGGAGACCGAGGAUGGGGAUUUGGGGUCACCAGGGAUGGUGGACCCCAUAGAUGGGGAUUUGGGGUCACCAGGGAUGGUUUGGGGUCACCAGGGGUGGUGGGGAGACCGAGGAUGGGGAUUUGGGGUCACCAGGGAUGGGGUCACCAUGUUUGGGGGUACCGAGGAUGGAGAUAUUGGGGUCACCAUGGAUGGUUUGGAGCCAACAGGGGUGAUGGGGACCCCACAGAUGGGGAUUUGGGACCACCAGGUAUGAUGGGGACACCGAGGAUGGGGAUUUGGGGUCACCAGGGAUGG